CUGAUAAGUGAGACUUCUAGAUAUAGACAACAUUGUUAGCUAUGGAAGGAGAAGCCAGCUCCUGAGGGAAAAUUGUUCUUUUGUUCUUGGAAUUGUAUGGUAAUGUAUGUAAUAAUAAUUACAAUGAAUAGUUAACAUUCUAUACAGUGCUUACUAUUGUGAGAAAGAAAUUAUAACACCAGAGAGAUAUUGGCAAACAAAUGCAAGAGAUGGAAUUUUAAAGGAACUGUCAAUCAACCAGAGAAGGAAGGAAGAUUCCAGUAGAAUCUGAUGAGAAGGCAGUUGGGAAAACCAGCAGCUGAACUGAGAUUUUCUUCCUGUUGACAGGGAGGAAAGAUCAACUGAAAGACAGACCUUGCUCUGGAUUCCUGGCUACUCACUGACUUAAUAUUGAAAAGAUUAGCUCUGACGAACCUUUUCAGUUUAUCAGCAAUAUCCCCUCAUAGACAUAUAACUUUAUUUCCCUGUAUUGACCUCCAUAGGAGAUUAGGGAGAUGAUAAUUUCCCUCUUCCCUCUCCCACCUCCCUUAAUUCCCUUAAAUUAAGAAUAAAACCUCUUUCAGAAAAGAGUUACAGUGUGACAUUAGUCCUUCGAAAUUUCUAAAAACUUACCAUAUUAAGAAGAGUCUUUAAGAUCAACUGAGAGAGGGACAGGAAGUGGGAUGGAGGAAAGCAAACCUUCACCUUUCCUCAAUUUUAUUACCUGGUGUUAUUGCUCCAACACCUCUCUGCUACCAUAAAUAUUCUAAUAGGAUCAUCUCUUACACUAUGUGCCAUGCAAAAGAUUUUAUAAUUAUUAUCACAUUUGAUUCUCAAAACUAUCAUGGGAGAUAAUUGCUAUUAUCACCUCCAUUUUACAGAUGAGGAAAAUGAGACAAACAAAUUAAGUGAUUUGGCCAGGACCAUGCAGCUAGUGAAUAUCUUAGCAUGGAUUUGAACUUGUGUUUUCCUGACUCCAAGAUUAAAAGGUCAGAACACAUACUAUUUGAUCUUUUGGUCUUCUUAGAAGCUUCAAAGAACUCAAGAGCUGUAAAUAGAAGAUUGAGGAACCUGAUAAGAGGGACUCAUGAUGAAAAAUGCUAUCCCUAGCCAGUGAAGGAACUGUUGGAGCCUUAUUGCAGAUCAAAGCAUGGUAAAUUACACUUCAUUUCCUUCUUGAAGUUUCUUUUUUUUUAAUAUGUGUGAUAAGUGUAUUCUGCCAUUUAAUGAGUAAUGUGGAAAUAAAUAUGUCUUGAAUGAAAGUACUUGUAUAACC
RNAcentral lists this long non-coding RNA (1255 nucleotides) under Monodelphis domestica (gray short-tailed opossum). Its description in RNAcentral is "lncRNA (ENSMODG00000040667.1)". The record is from RNAcentral. Lineage: Eukaryota; Metazoa; Chordata; Mammalia; Didelphimorphia; Didelphidae.